GGCUCGAAUCAGAGCGAGAAGCUGCUCGGGAUUUGCCCUUUCCCCUCCCUCCGGCGGCAAUUGCUGAAUCAGAAGCUGAACACGGUUUUCAGAAGAGGAGAUUUUGCAGUUAACAAACUGAAACCAAACGUCACUCAGGAUCUGAGAGAGUUACCAAACGUAUCACAACCUGAAUACAACAGAAUAAUGGACAUGGAAGGAGAAAGCACUGUUCCCAGUGGGGAGAAACUGGUUCUGUUUUUGGGUAAGGCUUCAAUCAAUCAUCUGGCUUAUCAGAAUGUAACACACUCAUAAUGAUUAGAAGCCAUGGAGAUGAGGGGAUUGUGGUAAAGACUUCUUUCAUCCAUCAAUACUGAAAAAUCAUCAGCUUAGUUACACCAGGAAGAGGCCAUUCACCUGUUCUGAGUGUGGAGAGAGACUCACUCAAAUCAUCCACCCUGCUGACACACCAGAGUGUGGCAAGAGGCUGUUCACCCCCACAGAGUGUGGAAAGAGAUUUAUCAAUUCUUCAAACCUGGUGACACACCGGCAAGUUCACACUGAUGAGUGACCUUUUAAAUGCCCAGUCUGCAGGAAGUGCUAUGAAAGGUCUGGGGAACUAAUGCUCCAUCAGUGUGCUCACACUGAAAGAGACUGUUUGGGUGUUCUGACUGUGGGACAGCAUUUCAGUGAUCAUCUCGGCUCACUGUAUACCAUUACGUUCACAUUAGGGAGAAGCCCUUUACCUGCUCUGACCGUGGGAGGGAAGUCAGUCAGUCACCCCAUCUGCUGAGGCACCAGCACAUUCACACUGUGCAGUGACCAUUCACCUGCCCCAGCUGUGGGAAGGGAAUCACACAGGUGUCAUAUCUGCUGAGUGACCAGAGAGUUCACAAGAAACUGCAGUGAUUGGGCUUUACUAUUAACCGCGUUCAGGAAUUAACCAGGUUCAUUGUGAUCUGUUUCUGCUGAUAUUAAUAACCACCUGUUCAGGUAUAUGUUAAUGUAGAUACGUAUCAAAUAAACCAGUUUUGUGUAAAAUACAA
Long non-coding RNA from Stegostoma tigrinum, 1025 nucleotides. RefSeq lists it as uncharacterized. NCBI's taxonomy places the organism in Eukaryota, Metazoa, Chordata, Chondrichthyes, Orectolobiformes, Stegostomatidae. The record is from RefSeq and is a predicted model, not a curated record. The transcript is spliced from 2 exons.